Molecule: transfer RNA, 73 nt
Filed under: Streptomyces lateritius
Lineage: Bacteria; Bacillati; Actinomycetota; Actinomycetes; Kitasatosporales; Streptomycetaceae
Description: tRNA-Cys(gca)
Rfam family: tRNA
About the family: Transfer RNA (tRNA) molecules are approximately 80 nucleotides in length.
Source: RNAcentral
GACCGUGUGCCCGAGUGGUUCAGGGGCUCGCCUGCAAAGCGAGUGACGUCGGUUCGAAUCCGAUCACGGUCUC